UUAGAGUUUGAUCAUGGCUCACGAUUAACGCUGGCGGCGUGCUUAACACAUGCAAGUCGAACCCUUCUUCGGGUUAGUGGCGGACGGGUGAGUAACGCGUGAGAAUCUGCCCUCAGGAGGGGGAUAACGGUUGGAAACGACCGCUAAUACCCCAUAUGCCGAUAGGUGAAAUGAAUUUCGCCUGAGGAUGAGCUCGCGUCUGAUUAGCUAGUUGGUGAGGUAAUGGCUCACCAAGGCUUCGAUCAGUAGCUGGUCUGAGAGGAUGAUCAGCCACACUGGGACUGAGACACGGCCCAGACUCCUACGGGAGGCAGCAGUGGGGAAUUUUCCGCAAUGGGCGAAAGCCUGACGGAGCAACGCCGCGUGAGGGACGAAGGCCUCUGGGCUGUAAACCUCUUUUCUCAAGGAAGAAGAUAUGACGGUACUUGAGGAAUAAGCCACGGCUAAUUCCGUGCCAGCAGCCGCGGUAAUACGGGAGUGGCAAGCGUUAUCCGGAAUUAUUGGGCGUAAAGCGUCCGCAGGCGGCCUAUCAAGUCUGCUGUUAAAACGUGGAGCUUAACUCCAUCAUGGCAGUGGAAACUGAUAGGCUUGAGUAUGGUAGGGGCAGAGGGAAUUCCCGGUGUAGCGGUGAAAUGCGUAGAUAUCGGGAAGAACACCAGUGGCGAAGGCGCUCUGCUGGGCCAUUACUGACGCUCAUGGACGAAAGCCAGGGGAGCGAAAGGGAUUAGAUACCCCUGUAGUCCUGGCCGUAAACGAUGAACACUAGGUGUCGGGGGAAUCGACCCCUUCGGUGUCGUAGCUAACGCGUUAAGUGUUCCGCCUGGGGAGUACGCACGCAAGUGUGAAACUCAAAGGAAUUGACGGGGGCCCGCACAAGCGGUGGAGUAUGUGGUUUAAUUCGAUGCAACGCGAAGAACCUUACCAGGGUUUGACAUCCUGCGAACCUCUUAGAAAUUUGAGGGUGCCUUCGGGAAUGCAGUGACAGGUGGUGCAUGGCUGUCGUCAGCUCGUGUCGUGAGAUGUUGGGUUAAGUCCCGCAACGAGCGCAACCCACGUUUUUAGUUGCCAGCAUUUAGUUGGGCACUCUAGAAAGACCGCCGGUGAUAAACCGGAGGAAGGUGUGGAUGACGUCAAGUCAUCAUGCCCCUUACACCCUGGGCUACACACGUACUACAAUGCUACGGACAAAGGGCAGCAAACUCGCGAGGGCAAGCAAAUCCCAUAAACCGUGGCUCAGUUCAGAUCGUAGGCUGCAACUCGCCUACGUGAAGUAGGAAUCGCUAGUAAUCGCAGGUCAGCAUACUGCGGUGAAUACGUUCCCGGGCCUUGUA
RNAcentral lists this ribosomal RNA (1331 nucleotides) under unidentified marine bacterioplankton. RNAcentral describes it as "bacterial SSU rRNA". It matches the Rfam family "Bacterial small subunit ribosomal RNA". The record is from RNAcentral.